UACGGAGGGUGCGAGCGUUUAAUCGGAAUUACUGGGCGUAAAGCGUGCGUAGGUGGUUGAUUAAGUUAUCUGUGAAAUCCCUGGGCUUAACCUGGGCAGGUCAGAUGAUACUGGUUGACUCGAGUAUGGGAGAGGGUAGUGGAAUUUCCGGUGUAGCGGUGAAAUGCGUAGAGAUCGGAAGGAACACCAGUGGCGAAGGCGGCUACCUGGCCUAAUACUGACACUGAGGCACGAAAGCGUGGGGAGCAAACAGG
RNAcentral lists this ribosomal RNA (254 nucleotides) under uncultured bacterium. RNAcentral describes it as "partial 16S ribosomal RNA". It matches the Rfam family "Bacterial small subunit ribosomal RNA", at positions 524 to 776 of the family's 1533-position model. The record is from RNAcentral.